ACGAACGCUGGCGGCGUGCUUAACACAUGCCAGUCGAGCGGAAAGGCCCUUCGGGGUACUCGAGCGGCGAACGGGUGAGUAACACGUGAGUAACCUGCCCCAGACUUUGGGAUAACCCUCGGAAACGGGGGCUAAUACCGGAUACGACACAGCUUCGCAUGGGGUCUGUGUGGAAAGUUUUUCGGUUUGGGAUGGGCUCGCGGCCUAUCAGCUUGUUGGUGGGGUGAUGGCCUACCAAGGCGACGACGGGUAGCCGGCCUGAGAGGGCGACCGGCCACACUGGGACUGAGACACGGCCCAGACUCCUACGGGAGGCAGCAGUGGGGAAUAUUGCACAAUGGGCGGAAGCCUGAUGCAGCGACGCAGCGUGAGGGAUGACGGCCUUCGGGUUGUAAACCUCUUUCAGCAGGGACGAAGCGUAAGUGACGGUACCUGCAGAAGAAGCGCCGGCCAACUACGUG
RNAcentral lists this ribosomal RNA (461 nucleotides) under uncultured bacterium. RNAcentral describes it as "partial 16S ribosomal RNA". It matches the Rfam family "Bacterial small subunit ribosomal RNA", at positions 29 to 507 of the family's 1533-position model. The record is from RNAcentral.